UCCGGGUUGGACCCGGCGGUCCCGCCAGACGUGGUAACUGGCGGCGGGGGUUGCGCUCGUUGCGGGACUUAACCCAACACCUCACGGCACGAGCUGACGACAGCCGUGCAGCAUCUGCGCGCGCUCCCUCGCGGGUCCUCGCCGUUUCCGGUCCGUACCACGCGCAUGUCAAGCCCAGGUAAGGUUCUUCGCGUUGCGUCGAAUUAAACCACACGCUCCGCUGCUUGUGCGGGCCCCCGUCAAUUCCUUUGAGUUUUAGCCUUGCGGCCGUAGUCCCCAGGCGGGGCACUCACUGCGUUAGCGCCGGCACCGGGGGGGUCGAUACCCCCGACACCUCGUGCCCAUCGUUUACGGCGUGGACUAC
Molecule: unclassified non-coding RNA, 364 nt
Filed under: uncultured Chloroflexota bacterium
Lineage: Bacteria; Bacillati; Chloroflexota
Description: uncultured Chloroflexi bacterium contains 16S-23S intergenic spacer region
Source: RNAcentral